GAUGAAGAACGUAGCGAAAUGCGAUACGUAAUGUGAAUUGCAGAAUUCAGUGAAUCAUCGAAUCUUUGAACGCAUAUUGCGCUCUCUGGUAUUCCGGAGAGCAUGCUUGUUUGAGUAUCAGUAAACACCUCAACUCCCUUUUCUUUUUUGAAAUUGGAGCUGGACUUGAGUGAUCCCAACGCUUUCUUCCAAGAAAGUGGCGGGUUGCUUGAAAUGCAGGUGCAGCUGAACUUUUCUCUGAGCUAUAAGCAUAUCUAUUUAGUCUGCCUAAAAAACAGAUUAUUACCUUUGCUGCAGCUAACAUAAAGGAGACUAGUUCUUGUGCCGACUGAUGCAGGAUUCACAGAGACAGCUUCGGCUGACUUUGUAAACUCGAUCUCAAAUCAAGUAAGACUACCCGCUGAACUUAAGCAUAUCAAUAAGCGGAGGA
Molecule: unclassified non-coding RNA, 430 nt
Filed under: soil metagenome
Description: partial contains 5.8S ribosomal RNA, internal transcribed spacer 2, and large subunit ribosomal RNA
Rfam family: 5.8S ribosomal RNA (bases 1-120)
Source: RNAcentral